This 460-nucleotide ribosomal RNA is filed under the name uncultured bacterium. Its description in RNAcentral is "partial 16S ribosomal RNA". It matches the Rfam family "Bacterial small subunit ribosomal RNA", at positions 338 to 795 of the family's 1533-position model. The record is from RNAcentral.
CCUACGGGGCGCAGCAGUGAGGAAUAUUGGUCAAUGGACGAGAGUCUGAACCAGCCAAGUAGCGUGAAGGAUGACUGCCCUAUGGGUUGUAAACUUCUUUUAUAUGGGAAUAAAAUGUUCCACGUGUGGGUUUUUGUAUGUACCAUAUGAAUAAGGAUCGGCUAACUCCGUGCCAGCAGCCGCGGUAAUACGGAGGAUCCGAGCGUUAUCCGGAUUUAUUGGGUUUAAAGGGAGCGUAGGUGGAUUGUUAAGUCAGUUGUGAAAGUUUGCGGCUCAACCGUAAAAUUGCAGUUGAAACUGGCAGUCUUGAGUACAGUAGAGGUAGGCGGAAUGCGUGGUGUAGCGGUGAAAUGCUUAGAUAUCACGAAGAACUCCGAUUGCGAAGGCAGCUCACUAGACUGCAACUGACACUGAGGCUCGAAAGUGUGGGUAUCAAACAGGAUUAGAUACCCCAGUAGUC